GUUGUGAGGUUAAGCGACUAAGCGUACACGGUGGAUGCCCUGGCAGUCAGAGGCGAUGAAGGACGUGCUAAUCUGCGAUAAGCGUCGGUAAGGUGAUAUGAACCGUUAUAACCGGCGAUUUCCGAAUGGGGAAACCCAGUGUGAUUCGUCACACUAUCAUUAACUGAAUCCAUAGGUUAAUGAGGCGAACCGGGGGAACUGAAACAUCUAAGUACCCCGAGGAAAAGAAAUCAACCGAGAUUCCCCCAGUAGCGGCGAGCGAACGGGGAGCAGCCCAGAGCCUGAAUCAGUGUGUGUGUUAGUGGAAGCGUCUGGAAAGGCGUGCGAUACAGGGUGACAGCCCCGUACACAAAAAUGCACAUACUGUGAGCUCGAUGAGUAGGGCGGGACACGUGGUAUCCUGUCUGAAUAUGGGGGGACCAUCCUCCAAGGCUAAAUACUCCUGACUGACCGAUAGUGAACCAGUACCGUGAGGGAAAGGCGAAAAGAACCCCGGCGAGGGGAGUGAAAAAGAACCUGAAACCGUGUACGUACAAGCAGUGGGAGCACGCUUAGGCGUGUGACUGCGUACCUUUUGUAUAAUGGGUCAGCGACUUAUAUUCUGUAGCAAGGUUAACCGAAUAGGGGAGCCGAAGGGAAACCGAGUCUUAACUGGGCGUUAAGUUGCAGGGUAUAGACCCGAAACCCGGUGAUCUAGCCAUGGGCAGGUUGAAGGUUGGGUAACACUAACUGGAGGACCGAACCGACUAAUGUUGAAAAAUUAGCGGAUGACUUGUGGCUGGGGGUGAAAGGCCAAUCAAACCGGGAGAUAGCUGGUUCUCCCCGAAAGCUAUUUAGGUAGCGCCUCGUGAAUUCAUCUCCGGGGGUAGAGCACUGUUUCGGCAAGGGGGUCAUCCCGACUUACCAACCCGAUGCAAACU
Molecule: ribosomal RNA, 920 nt
Filed under: Escherichia coli
Lineage: Bacteria; Pseudomonadati; Pseudomonadota; Gammaproteobacteria; Enterobacterales; Enterobacteriaceae
Also listed under: 1 other name
Description: partial 23S ribosomal RNA
Rfam family: Bacterial large subunit ribosomal RNA
Source: RNAcentral